GGCUUCUUCUAAACGUAACUCUUUUUCUUUUUCUUCUUCUUUUUUUUCUUUUUUUCUGAAGGGUGGUGGUGGGGUAUACAGGUGUAAAAUUGUAUUGUUAUUUCCUGUGGUAUGUACAUCUGUGUCCACCGUUGUCCACAACCGACCUCUUUUAAAUUACACUUGGCGAUGGACUUGGUAGGAUGUCAGAUCAAGUCACA
This 200-nucleotide long non-coding RNA is filed under the name Elaeis guineensis (African oil palm). RNAcentral's name for it is "long non-coding RNA (EGUI_LNC016142)". Lineage: Eukaryota; Viridiplantae; Streptophyta; Magnoliopsida; Arecales; Arecaceae. The record is from RNAcentral.